This 870-nucleotide ribosomal RNA is filed under the name uncultured archaeon. Its description in RNAcentral is "bacterial SSU rRNA". It matches the Rfam family "Archaeal small subunit ribosomal RNA", at positions 1 to 878 of the family's 1478-position model. The record is from RNAcentral.
CUCCGGUUGAUCCUGCCGGACCCUGACUGCUAUCGGAUUGGUACUGAGCCAUGCGAGUCAUUGUAGCAAUACAAGGCGGACGGCUCAGUAACACGUAGUCAACCUAACUCGUGGACGUGGAUAACCUCGGGAAACUGAGAAUAAACCACGAUAGACCAUAGUGCCUGGAAUGGCUUAUGGUCCAAACAGUUUACUGCCAUGGGAUGGGACUGCGGCCUAUCAGCUUGUUGGUGAGGUAAUGGCCCACCAAGGCGAUUACAGGUACGGGCUCUGAGAGGAGAAGCCCGGAGAUGGGUACUGAGACACGGACCCAGGCCCUAUGGGGCGCAGCAGGCGAGAAACCUUAGCAAUGUGCGAAAGCACGACUGGGUCAGUCCGAGUGAUUCCUGAUAAAGGAGUCUUUUGCUUGUCCUAAAAGCACAGGUGAAUAAGGGGUGGGCAAGUCUGGUGUCAGCCGCCGCGGUAAUACCAGCACCUCGAGUGGUCAGGACGUUUAUUGGGCCUAAAGCAUCCGUAGCCGGCUUUGCAAGUCUUCGGUUAAAUCCACCUGCUCAACAGAUGGGCUGCUGGAGAUACUACAAAGCUAGGGAGUGGGAGAGGCAGACGGUAUUCAGUGGGUAGGGGUAAAAUCCUCUGAUCCAUUGAGGACCACCAGUGGCGAAGGCGGUCUGCCAGAACACGUUCGACGGUGAGGGAUGAAAGCUGGGGGAGCAAACCGGAUUAGAUACCCGGGUAGUCCCAGCUGUAAACGAUGCAAACUCGGUGAUGCAUUGGCUUAUGGCCAAUGCAGUGCCGCAGGGAAGCCGUUAAGUUUGCCGCCUGGGAAGUACGGACGCAAGUCUGAAACUUUAAGGAAUUGGCGGGGGAGCA